AUUGAACGCUGGCGGCAGGCCUAACACAUGCAAGUCGAGCGGUAGAGAGAAGCUUGCUUCUCUUGAGAGCGGCGGACGGGUGAGUAAUGCCUAGGAAUCUGCCUGGUAGUGGGGGAUAACGUUCGGAAACGGACGCUAAUACCGCAUACGUCCUACGGGAGAAAGCAGGGGACCUUCGGGCCUUGCGCUAUCAGAUGAGCCUAGGUCGGAUUAGCUAGUUGGUGGGGUAAUGGCUCACCAAGGCGACGAUCCGUAACUGGUCUGAGAGGAUGAUCAGUCACACUGGAACUGAGACACGGUCCAGACUCCUACGGGAGGCAGCAGUGGGGAAUAUUGGACAAUGGGCGAAAGCCUGAUCCAGCCAUGCCGCGUGUGUGAAGAAGGUCUUCGGAUUGUAAAGCACUUUAAGUUGGGAGGAAGGGCAGUAAAUUAAUACUUUGCUGCUUUGACGUUACCGACAGAAUAAGCACCGGCUAACUCUGUG
RNAcentral lists this ribosomal RNA (484 nucleotides) under uncultured bacterium. RNAcentral describes it as "partial 16S ribosomal RNA". It matches the Rfam family "Bacterial small subunit ribosomal RNA", at positions 30 to 507 of the family's 1533-position model. The record is from RNAcentral.